This 21-nucleotide microRNA is filed under the name Callithrix jacchus (white-tufted-ear marmoset). Its description in RNAcentral is "cja-miR-9954". Lineage: Eukaryota; Metazoa; Chordata; Mammalia; Primates; Cebidae. The record is from miRBase by way of RNAcentral.
UAGUUGGAUGUGGUGGCCCAU